UACGUAGGGUGCGAGCGUUAAUCGGAAUUACUGGGCGUAAAGCGUGCGCAGGCGGUUCGUUAUGUCCGAUGUGAAAGCCCCGAGCUCAACUUGGGAAUGGCAUUGGAAACUGGCGGGCUGGAGUGUGGCAGAGGGGGGUGGAAUUCCACGUGUAGCAGUGAAAUGCGUAGAGAUGUGGAGGAACACCGGUGGCGAAGGCGGCCUUCUGGACAGUGACUGACGCUGAGACGCGAAAGCGUGGGGAGCAAACAGG
Molecule: ribosomal RNA, 253 nt
Filed under: uncultured bacterium
Lineage: Bacteria
Description: partial 16S ribosomal RNA
Rfam family: Bacterial small subunit ribosomal RNA
Source: RNAcentral